RNA transcript from Brassica napus (rape), 2152 nucleotides. RefSeq lists it as uncharacterized. The transcript has 6 exons. The record is from RefSeq and is a predicted model, not a curated record. Lineage: Eukaryota; Viridiplantae; Streptophyta; Magnoliopsida; Brassicales; Brassicaceae.
UUGGGAUGGGCUUCGUCUAGGUUAGGGAAUUAGGGGAGGCGUCGAUUGAUUAAAAAAAACAACCUCGCCGUCGACUUCUUCCAGAUCCUUUCGUCUGGGGCGAUUCUUAUUCCGGCGUCUCAUCUCUGUAAUGCCCUAUAUUUAUGAUUUAAUUUCUGAAACAGACGUUUCUGUUCUUCUUCUUCUUCAUUUUCUGAACCGUCUUCAUCAUCUCCACUCCCUACCAAGCGAUCUAAGGUCAAGAUCAAUGUCGCUAUUGAAUCUGCGGCGGCGGCGGAACCGGUUUCGGAUCAAUCACAAGACAAUCUACUCUCGAUCAAUUCAUCGCAAGAGCCGACCUCAAGCCUCCUCCGCCGGAUCCCCAAGUUGUUUCCGACCCUGUGGUAAUAACGACAGCGUCGGGAUCGAUCCCGAGACAGCUAAAACUUGGAUUUAUCCAGUAAACGUUCCUCUGAGAGAUUACCAAGACUUUGAUUUGCUAUAACACAUUAGUUGCCUUACCAACAAGACUUGUAAAACCCUCACAACUGCAGUUGUUAUGUAUAUUUACUUCAGAUGGUUUCCAAAAGGUUAAAUAUCAAACCCACUUUUAUGUGUCCAUCUCUAUUAGAACCCAUCCUUGUCACUUACCCAGAAUCUUCAGCAGAAGCCACGAGCUUCAGUGGCAGCACCAAGCCAACGUUAGGAUCAGCAGCUUAUGCGCUCUCCGAUCAAGCUCAUCCUCGCUUCUCAGAUGUCUACGAAUUCGAUCGAGAGAAACAAAGACAGUGACAAGAGACUGUAAGCCGCCACGUGGAAGAACUCAGAAGUGCCUCUCCAGAUGGUUCUUCAUCUCCAGCACAGUGAAUCGCAUCCUCUACUGGCUCUAGCUUCUCUCCGCAACGGCUUGUGUGGCUUUGUCGUCUUACAAGCUGGUGUAGUCAACGCGCUGAUCCAACACCAGUGGCGUCCAAAGUCGUUUAUCACGGUUUCUGGAGAGGUUGACUCUAGGGCGAUCGAGAAGAGUGCCAAGAUUGGGUUGGGAUGUGAUUAAUCGCAACCUUCUCUUCCUUGUGGAUCUGCGUGCUUAUUGCAUUUUGAGAUAAAUGGGGCCUAUCACAUACUACUAAUGUAUCUUCUCGCUGAAUUCUCCCUCUUUCAGCUGUGUGAAUAUCAAAGUAAUCACAUAAAAUUCAUCUCUGUAUUAUUACUCCUCUGUGUGUUGUAUAUAAAUCCAUAGGUUGAAGGAAAAAGCGAGCGUGUACUCAAAUUCCUCAAAUCGGAGAAGGUUGAGCUGGAGGCAUGACUCAGCAAGGAGAAUAUAUAAACUCUGCAACUAAAGGAAGAGUUAAAAGAGACUGAUAUGCGAAACACAGAGUUAUACAAGGAACUUCACUCUGUGCGGAGUCAACUUGCAGCGGAACAGUCGAGGUGUUUCAAAUUAGAGCUUGAGGUUGCAGAGGUAAGAUAAAAUCUUCAGACAAUGGAAACACUUGAAAAGGAACUGAAACUCCUCCACCUUUAAAGAGAGGUUGCGUCUGAACAAGCCACCGCCAAUAUGAAUUUCUAUGAUUCUUCAAAGAUAAUUUAAAAACACGUGUAUUGUUCUCUAUCUCUGAGCCGACAACAACCAUAGAGUUCUGUCUCUUCAAUAUCAUCUCCGUUAAACUCAUUGCAAGGAUCACAAGUCUUCAUCUUCUAAGAUUUUGUUGAAAAUGCCGAGCAAGUGCGAAAUCUUGUGCGAGAUCUUGAUCGCAGUCCUUCUUCCUCCUCUAGGAGUUUGCCUCAGCCGUGGCUGUUGCACUGUGGAGUUCUUGAUUUGCUUGGUCCUGAUUAUCGUAGGAUACGUACCAGGCAUAAUCUAUGCGCUUUACGUGAUUGUUUUCAAGAAACAAGAAGAGUAUUUCAAUGAAGCCAGAAUUUGUUUUUCUUUGAGAACUUUUCACUCUUUGUACCAAAUAAGUUGUUUUUAUUUAAUGUGUUGAAAGAGGUUUGUAAACUUUUUUUGUUCAAUUGUUCCUUCUUUUAGGUUAUAUUCACAUAGAUUAUGUUGAUGCAUAUGUUAUCUCCAUAGAUCAUGGAAGAAAGGAACGUAUGCAUCUUGGCUUCUCUCAUUCUAUCCCAUGUGACUUUUGUAUGGAUACCAACAUAUAUACAUACAGAAUUACAUUCU